RNAcentral lists this long non-coding RNA (242 nucleotides) under Elaeis guineensis (African oil palm). RNAcentral's name for it is "long non-coding RNA (EGUI_LNC041720)". The record is from RNAcentral. Lineage: Eukaryota; Viridiplantae; Streptophyta; Magnoliopsida; Arecales; Arecaceae.
GUUCCCUUGUGCCUGUGUUUCUAUCUAACAGGAUAAAGUAUGCCUCUCUAUCUACAAGAUUCUACAUGCAUCUCAAGACAGUGAAGACACUAAUUAUUGUUAUGGUUUGACACUGUGAGUACCCUUGUCUUAUAUUGUUCUCACCAAGUUCUACCCAAGAUAUUCCAUUAUAAAACAAAUAAAGUUAACCCAUGAUUAGAACAAAAAAUUGAUACCCUGAUGAUCACAGAGUUGAAGCAGAC